UUUUUUAAGUGUCAACUCUGUGCUAGACUUAAUUUCUGCGUAUAAAUUACUAAGAAAAAUAGUUGUAUUUUCUGUCACCAGUAGAGCUCAUAGUCCAACGUGAGUGUGACAGACAAUAAGCAAGAAAAAUGUGAAAAAUUAUAAAGUGAAAAGUGCUUCAAAUGAAUCCAACAUGUUAACAAUCUCUCCUUAUUCCCAUCACGUUCGCUGAAGCUUGAGUUGCAGGUUCUGCCACUUAAUGUAAAUUUGCCUUGAAUUUGAGACCCAAAUAAUCCUGGCAUCUUCUGAUUGCAGAAUCUACACUUACACAGCUAGGAUCUUUGAAAGACGCUUCAAGAUGAGAAAUUUAUGAGAAGACUGAGCAGGACUGUGGACAUCUCUUAGGUCUCCUGAUGUUCAAAGCAUAUUAUGUGUAGGAUAUGUUUGGAAAUAGGUACAGCCCUGUAAUUCUCUCUUUCUCUAACAAACUUCAAGAUGCAUUUUUGAACACUGUGUUCCAUUUAUUUUGUUUUCAUGGUGCGUACAUUCAAGGUUUCCAGUUUCUGGAACCUCUGAGGAAUGUCGUACUUUGGCACUUUAAGUGGCCCUCGUGAACUCCCAGUUAAGAAGAAAGGAAAAAGCUAACAGAAAAGCAGAAAAACAGCUCAAACCAAUGAGCGAGAGCCAAACAGCACCCAAGGCCAGUUUAGAUUUGCAGGCUCUUGAGUAGCUGGUUCUCAACGGCGUUUUUAAGUUAUUCCCUGUUAUAAAGUCUUGGUGAAAGCCCUUGCUUGGUCUCAGUUCUGCUGCUGGGUUAUUAGUGGCCAGACCCCUUGGGGCGUGGGGGCGAUAUCUUGCAAGCCAACAGCAAGAGGCAGCAGAACUGAUGAGUUCUGAGGGGCUGGGUCCUGGGCACACAAGAGAAAGAUCCCGGGGAAAUGCUCCAGAGAGCUGUGGGACCUCUUUGAGGUGGGCAAAUUUCUGGAAAUUGGGAAGUAUAACCUUGUUUUGUUGUCAUGGGCUAUUGAGGCUAGAGAUUCUUAGUAUAGAUAUAAUUUCCUUCUUCUUUCCAAAAUUCCUCCUCUACAGUAUGUUUGGGAAAGGCAUCAUUAUCAACUCCCCCUCGCAUUUCGCUGAGUUUGGUUUCAUAAUUUCCCCAAGGUCACAACGCAGACGUGGAAUGCCAGCCUUCCUGCUUGAGGUGCCAUGUGCGACGUGAACCGUCCUACAACUUUGGGCUAAGGAUGCAGUGUUCUGGGAUACAAUGUUCUCAGUCCUGUUCCCAGUGGAUCGGUCUCCACGGACCACAAAUAGCACAGCUGAUGUUAAUG
RNAcentral lists this long non-coding RNA (1310 nucleotides) under Equus caballus (horse). Its description in RNAcentral is "lncRNA (ENSECAG00000031698.3)". The record is from RNAcentral. Lineage: Eukaryota; Metazoa; Chordata; Mammalia; Perissodactyla; Equidae.